This 426-nucleotide ribosomal RNA is filed under the name uncultured bacterium. RNAcentral's name for it is "partial 16S ribosomal RNA". It matches the Rfam family "Bacterial small subunit ribosomal RNA", at positions 354 to 796 of the family's 1533-position model. The record is from RNAcentral.
GUGAGGAAUUUUCCGCAAUGGGCGAAAGCCUGACGGAGCAAUGCCGCGUGAAGGAUGAAGGCCUAUGGGUUGUAAACUUCUUUUCUUAGAGAAGAAUAUUGACGGUAUCUGAGGAAUAAGCAUCGGCUAACUCUGUGCCAGCAGCCGCGGUAAGACAGAGGAUGCAAGCGUUAUCCGGAAUGAUUGGGCGUAAAGCGUCUGUAGGUGGCUUCAAAAGUCUCCUGUCAAAGAUCAGGGCUUAACCCUGGGACGGCAGGAGAAACUCUGAGGCUAGAGUUUGGUAGGGGCAGAGGGAAUUCCCGGUGGAGCGGUGAAAUGCGUAGAGAUCAGGAGGAACACCAAAGGCGAAAGCACUCUGCUGGGCCACAACUGACACUGAGAGACGAAAGCGAGGGGAGCAAAAGGGAUUAGAUACCCGGGUAGUCC